This 477-nucleotide ribosomal RNA is filed under the name uncultured organism. RNAcentral describes it as "partial 16S ribosomal RNA". It matches the Rfam family "Bacterial small subunit ribosomal RNA", at positions 331 to 799 of the family's 1533-position model. The record is from RNAcentral.
GUACACUCCUGCGGGAGGCAGCAGUGGGGAAUUUUGGACAAUGGGCGAAAGCCUGAUCCAGCCAUGCCGCGUGCAGGAUGAAGGCCUUCGGGUUGUAAACUGCUUUUGUACGGAACGAAACGGCCUUUUCUAAUAAAGAGGGCUAAUGACGGUACCGUAAGAAUAAGCACCGGCUAACUACGUGCCAGCAGCCGCGGUAAUACGUAGGGUGCACGCGUUAAUCGGAAUUACUGGGCGUAAAGCGUGCGCAGGCGGUUAUGUAAGACAGUUGUGAAAUCCCCGGGCUCAACCUGGGAACUGCAUCUGUGACUGCAUAGCUAGAGUACGGUAGAGGGGGAUGGAAUUCCGCGUGUAGCAGUGAAAUGCGUAGAUAUGCGGAGGAACACCGAUGGCGAAGGCAAUCCCCUGGACCUGUACUGACGCUCAUGCACGAAAGCGUGGGGAGCAAACAGGAUUAGAUACCCCUGUAGUCCCAUG